RNAcentral lists this ribosomal RNA (446 nucleotides) under uncultured bacterium. RNAcentral describes it as "bacterial SSU rRNA". It matches the Rfam family "Bacterial small subunit ribosomal RNA", at positions 330 to 792 of the family's 1533-position model. The record is from RNAcentral.
GCCAGACUCCUACGGGAGGCAGCAGUGGGGGAUAUUGCACAAUGGGGGAAACCCUGAUGCAGCGACGCCGCGUGAGUGAAGAAGUAUUUCGGUAUGUAAAGCUCUCUCAGCAGGGAAGAAAAAAGACGGUACCUGACUAAGAAGCCCCGGCUAACUACGUGCCAGCAGCCGCGGUAAUACGUAGGGGGCAAGCGUUAUCCGGAUUUACUGGGUGUAAAAGGAGCGUAGACGGCAAUACAAGUCGGAGGUGAAAUACCCGGGCUCAACCUGGGAACUGCUUUGGAAACUGUAUGGCUGGAGUGCUGGAGAGGUAAGCGGAAUUCCUAGUGUAGCGGUGAAAUGCGUAGAUAUUAGGAGGAACACCAGUGGCGAAGGCGGCUUACUGGACAGUAACUGACGUUGAGGCUCGAAAGCGUGGGGAGCAAACAGGAUUAGAUACCCGAGUA